RNAcentral lists this ribosomal RNA (459 nucleotides) under uncultured bacterium. Its description in RNAcentral is "bacterial SSU rRNA". It matches the Rfam family "Bacterial small subunit ribosomal RNA", at positions 342 to 791 of the family's 1533-position model. The record is from RNAcentral.
AGGGAGGCAGCAGUGAGGAAUUUUGGGCAAUGGCCGAAAGGCUGACCCAGCGACGCCGCGUGCGGGAGGAAGCCCUUCGGGGUGUAAACCGCUGUCAGGGGGGACGAAAGAACUCGGGGUUAACAGCCUCGGGAAGUGACGGUACCCUCAAAGGAAGCACCGGCUAACUCUGUGCCAGCAGCCGCGGUAAUACAGAGGGUGCAAGCGUUGUUCGGAAUUACUGGGCGUAAAGCGCGCGCAGGCGGAUCCUGUAAGUCGGAAGUGAAAUCUCGCUGCUCAACGGCGAGACGGCUUCUGAUACUGCGGAUCUGGAGACCGGUAGAGGCUGGUGGAAUUGCAGGUGUAGCGGUGGAAUGCGUAGAGAUCUGCAAGAACACCCGUGGCGAAGGCGGCCAGCUGGGCCGGUUCUGACGCUGAGGCGCGAAAGCGUGGGGAGCAAACAGGAUUAGAUACCCUGGU